This 393-nucleotide ribosomal RNA is filed under the name uncultured bacterium. RNAcentral's name for it is "partial 16S ribosomal RNA". It matches the Rfam family "Bacterial small subunit ribosomal RNA", at positions 523 to 918 of the family's 1533-position model. The record is from RNAcentral.
AUACGGAGGAUCCGAGCGUUAUCCGGAUUUAUUGGGUUUAAAGGGAGCGUAGGUGGAUUGUUAAGUCAGUUGUGAAAGUUUGCGGCUCAACCGUAAAAUUGCAGUUGAAACUGGCAGUCUUGAGUACAGUAGAGGUGGGCGGAAUUCGUGGUGUAGCGGUGAAAUGCUUAGAUAUCACGAAGAACUCCGAUUGCGAAGGCAGCUCACUAGACUGUUACUGACACUGAUGCUCGAAAGUGUGGGUAUCAAACAGGAUUAGAUACCCUGGUAGUCCACACAGUAAACGAUGAAUACUCGCUGUUUGCGAUAUACAGUAAGCGGCCAAGCGAAAGCAUUAAGUAUUCCACCUGGGGAGUACGCCGGCAACGUUGAAACUCAAAUGAAUUGACGGGG